UUGUUGGUAAGGUAAAAGCUUACCAAGGCUUCGAUCAGUAGCUGGUCUGAGAGGACGACCAGCCACACUGGGACUGAGACACGGCCCAGACUCCUACGGGAGGCAGCAGUGGGGAAUUUUGGACAAUGGGGGCAACCCUGAUCCAGCCAUGCCGCGUGAGUGAAGAAGGCCUUCGGGUUGUAAAGCUCUUUCAGCCGGAACGAAACGGUUACGGUUAAUACCCGUGAUUACUGACGGUACCGGAAGAAGAAGCACCGGCUAACUACGUGCCAGCAGCCGCGGUAAUACGUAGGGUGCGAGCGUUAAUCGGAAUUACUGGGCGUAAAGCGUGCGCAGGUGGUUUUGUAAGUCAGAUGUGAAAGCCCCGGGCUCAACCUGGGAACUGCGUUUGAAACUACAAGACUAGAGUGUGGCAGAGGGGGGUGGAAUUCCGCGUGUAGCAGUGAAAUGCGUAGAGAUGUGGAGGAACACCGAUGGCGAAGGCAGCCCCCUGGGUCAACACUGACGCUCAGGCACGAAAGCAUGGGGAGCAAACAGGAUUAGAUACCCUGGUAGUCCAUGCCCUAAACGAUGUCAACUAGUUGUCGGGCCUUUACGGGCUUGGUAACGUAGCUAACGCGUGAAGUUGACCGCCUGGGGAGUACGAUCGCAAGAUUAAAACUCAAAUGAAUUGACGGGGACCCGCACAAGCGGUGGAUUAUGUGGAUUAAUUCGAUGCAACGCGAAAAACCUUACCUACCCUUGACAUGUAUUGGAGCCCGCAGAGAUGUGGGUGUGCCCGAAAGGGAACGAUAACACAGGUGCUGCAUGGCUGUCGUCAGCUCGUGUCGUGAGAUGUUGGGUUAAGUCCCGCAACGAGCGCAACCCUUGUCAUUAAUUGCCAUCAUUUAGUUGGGCACUUUAAUGAGACCGCCGG
Molecule: ribosomal RNA, 916 nt
Filed under: uncultured bacterium
Lineage: Bacteria
Description: bacterial SSU rRNA
Rfam family: Bacterial small subunit ribosomal RNA
Source: RNAcentral